AGAGUUUGAUCUUGGCUCAGAAUGAACGCUGGCAGAAUGCUUAACACAUGCAAGUCGACUGGAAUUCACCUUCGGGUGAUAGUACGGUGGCGGACGGGUGAGUAACGCGUAAAGAAUCUGCCCUCUAGACUGGGAUAACUGUUGGAAACGACAGCUAAUACCGCAUAUUAUGGAACGGCGGCAUCGCGGAACUCUGAAAGGCUAUAUGCGCUAGAGGAUAGGUUUGCGUCCCAUUAGCUAGUUGGUAGGGUAAUGGCCUACCAAGACGAUGAUGGGUAGCCGGCCUGAGAGGGUGAUCGGCCACACUGGGACUGAGACACGGCCCAGACUCCUACGGGAGGCAGCAGUGGGGAAUAUUGGACAAUGGACUAAAAGUCUGAUCCAGCAACGCUGCGUGCACGAUGAAGGUCUUCGGAUCGUAAAGUGCUUUCAGGUGGGAAGAAGAAAGUCGACGGUACCACCAGAAGAAGCACCGGCUAAAUACGUGCCAGCAGCCGCGGUAAUACGUAUGUCGCAAGCGUUAUCCGGAAUUAUUGGGCGUAAAGCGCGUGUAGGCGGCCUUUUAAGUCUGAUGUGAAAGCGCGGGGCUCAACUCCGUAUUGCGUUGGAAACUGGAAAGCUUGAGUAUCAGAGA
This 634-nucleotide ribosomal RNA is filed under the name uncultured bacterium. Its description in RNAcentral is "bacterial SSU rRNA". It matches the Rfam family "Bacterial small subunit ribosomal RNA", at positions 8 to 655 of the family's 1533-position model. The record is from RNAcentral.